Xyrauchen texanus (razorback sucker) is the source of this 776-nucleotide long non-coding RNA. RefSeq lists it as uncharacterized. The transcript is spliced from 4 exons. NCBI's taxonomy places the organism in Eukaryota, Metazoa, Chordata, Actinopteri, Cypriniformes, Catostomidae. The record is from RefSeq and is a predicted model, not a curated record.
UUCAGGUUUACACACCAGCAUUACGAGGCCAUUCGGUUUAUGAGACCAAUUUUGAUGGUCUCGUAAUUCGGGGAAUUUAAAUUGUUAUAAUUAUUGAAUAAUAAUAAUUUAAAGCAUUAUUAAUAGAUGUAUGAUUACUACAUUACUAGUUUUAUUAAUUCACAUUGCUAUUUGAAUGUGAUAAACAUCCCCACGCUUUUUAUGACCUUUACAAAUAUGGACCUUUUAAACCAUGAUGUGUAUGUGUGAACUUUGAACAGUGCCCCUGUAGGUGGGAAUUGGUAUUGCAAGGUACACACAUUCGCGCCAAAUAACACACAUUUCCCCGCUAAAUCAUACACAUUUCCCCGCCAUAUCGUACAAUUGGCCGUAAACGUCGGCUGUUUCGAGAAGAUUCGCCGCGUUUGGAGAAGUGAUUAACAUCGGAGCUGCAACAGUUCUUCAGCAUCAUGGAAUUUACCGAAAACUGAAAAGGGACUAAAUCCUCUCAGAGAUACAGAACAGCACGUGAAGUUGGACAAAGAUUAAGACAUACAUGGAUAUAUAUAUAUAUCAAUCACACCAAAGGGCGAGGUGUAUUUGCAAAAGGCUUUAUGUUGAAAGGUUCAUUCAUUCUUGAAUCCAGAGGAAUCUUGUAUAAGCAUUGAUGCUUCAAGCGUUGACAGAUCACUUGGGAGACUAGUGAAUGAUGAGCAGAAACCCAAUGCAAAGAUGAAAAAGAAGUGGAUGGUAUGCCCCAUCUUUUGGCCAUUAUGGAUGGAAGGGAAUUUCGAGAG